This is a non-coding RNA of Paramuricea clavata, 561 nucleotides long. The record is from the annotation of a GenBank genome assembly. Lineage: Eukaryota; Metazoa; Cnidaria; Anthozoa; Malacalcyonacea; Plexauridae.
UGGAACAGUCAUAAGUGAUGAUAUGCUAAUCAGUUGUCCUUUGUCAUUAUCUUUUUGACAGCAAAACUCUAUAUUUUAGUCAAGCUAUAAACGUUUAAAAUAUAACAACAGUGUUUCAUGCCAGAACAACCAUACUCUCUCCAAAUUCGUCUUUUACUGUUGAAAUACACUACCAAAAGUCGAUAAGUAAAUGAACAAUCGCAAACACUGAUAUUGUUCGCUGUUAGUGAUAAGCAAAGAAAUAUUACUGAUACGUAUGCGUGGUAUGACGAAGCUCAUUGUUCCAUAAUAAAAUAAAUUAUUCAACUUACUAAUCAAUACUACGCUAAAAAAGGCUGUCUCCUACCUACAUGAACAGACUUAAUUUGUAAUUGGCGACUACGACAUUAAAAGACAAUAAACUAUAGAUAUGUUCGUAUAAAGAACGAGUCACAAGCACAUGACAGAAAAUUUUUGUUUCAGGAAACCAGGUAAUAUUUACUGAUAAAACAUCUUAUAUGCCUGCACACUUGCCAUGCUGUUUGUGUUCAGCAUCCGAGCACUUGGUGUGGUGCAGGUGUG